RNAcentral lists this ribosomal RNA (445 nucleotides) under uncultured bacterium. Its description in RNAcentral is "bacterial SSU rRNA". It matches the Rfam family "Bacterial small subunit ribosomal RNA", at positions 29 to 521 of the family's 1533-position model. The record is from RNAcentral.
AACGAACGCUGGCGGCAGGCCUAACACAUGCAAGUCGAGCGCCCCGCAAGGGGAGCGGCGGACGGGUGAGUAACACGUGGGAAUUUUCCUCAAGGUACGGAACAACUCAGGGAAACUUGGGCUAAUACCGUAUGAUGCAGAGAUGCCAAAGAUUUAUCGCCUUGGGAUAAGCCCGCGUCAGAUUAGGUAGUUGGUGGGGUAAUGGCCUACCAAGCCUGUGAUCUGUAGCUGGUCCGAGAGGACGAUCAGCCACAUUGGGACUGAGACACGGCCCAAACUCCUACGGGAGGCAGCAGUGGGGAAUCUUGCGCAAUGGACGAAAGUCUGACGCAGCCAUGCCGCGUGAAUGAUGAAGGUCUUAGGAUUGUAAAGUUCUUUAGCCUGUGACGAUGAUGACGGUAACAGGAGAAUAAGCCCCGGCUAACUUCGUGCCAGCAGCCGCGGU